This 58-nucleotide transfer RNA is filed under the name Apaloderma vittatum (bar-tailed trogon). The record is from Rfam by way of RNAcentral. Lineage: Eukaryota; Metazoa; Chordata; Aves; Trogoniformes; Trogonidae.
UAGCUCAGUCAGUAGAGCAUAGCGCUAAUAACGCCAAGGUGGCGGGUUCGAUUCCCAU